This 87-nucleotide transfer RNA is filed under the name Candidatus Doudnabacteria bacterium RIFCSPHIGHO2_01_43_10. RNAcentral's name for it is "tRNA-Leu". It matches the Rfam family "tRNA". From Rfam's summary of the family: Transfer RNA (tRNA) molecules are approximately 80 nucleotides in length. Their secondary structure includes four short double-helical elements and three loops (D, anti-codon, and T loops). Lineage: Bacteria; Candidatus Doudnaibacteriota. The record is from RNAcentral. RNAcentral also lists the same sequence under 6 other names.
GCUCGAGUGGUGGAACUGGCAUACACGUACGCUUCAGGAGCGUAUGACCGCAAGGUCGUGGGAGUUCAAAUCUCCCCUCGAGCACCA